UGACUGCUCCUGAUGUUACGGCGGACGGGUGAGUACCGUGGGUACCUGCCUGUAGACUGGGAUACUCCGGGAAACCGGGGCUAAUACCGGAUGGUUGUCUGAACCGCAUGGUUCAGACAUAAAAGGUGGCUUCGGCUACCACUUACAGAUGGACCCGCGGCGCAUUAGCUAGUUGGUGAGGUAACGGCUCACCAAGGCGACGAUGCGUAGCCGACCUGAGAGGGUGAUCGGCCACACUGGGAACUGAAGACACGGCCCAGACUCCUACGGGAGGCAGCAGUAGGGAAUCUUCCGCAAUGGACGAAAGUCUGACGGAAGCAACGCCGCGUGAGUGAUGAGGGUUUUCGGAUCGUAAAGCUCUGUUGUUAGGGAAGAACAAGUGCCGUUCAAAUAGGGCGGCACCUUGACGGUACCUAACCAGAAAGCCACGGCUAACUACGUGCCAGCAGCCGCGGUAAUACGUAGGUGGCAAGCGUUGUCCGGAUUUUUUUGGGGCGUAAGG
Molecule: ribosomal RNA, 502 nt
Filed under: Bacillus amyloliquefaciens
Lineage: Bacteria; Bacillati; Bacillota; Bacilli; Caryophanales; Bacillaceae
Description: bacterial SSU rRNA
Rfam family: Bacterial small subunit ribosomal RNA
Source: RNAcentral